AUCGCUUCUCGGCCUUUUGGCUAAGAUCGAGUGUAGUAUCUGUUCUUACCAGUUUUAAUAUCUAGUAGGGUUGAAAUAGCAAGUUUUCUGCCUUGUCUAUAGAGGUGAGCUCUG
This 114-nucleotide small nuclear RNA is filed under the name Myotis lucifugus (little brown bat). RNAcentral describes it as "U2 spliceosomal RNA". It matches the Rfam family "U2 spliceosomal RNA". Rfam says of the family: U2 is a small nuclear RNA (snRNA) component of the spliceosome (involved in pre-mRNA splicing). Complementary binding between U2 snRNA (in an area lying towards the 5' end but 3' to hairpin I) and the branchpoint sequence (BPS) of the intron results the bulging out of an unpaired adenosine, on the BPS, which initiates a nucleophilic attack at the intronic 5' splice site, thus starting the first of two transesterification reactions that mediate splicing. Lineage: Eukaryota; Metazoa; Chordata; Mammalia; Chiroptera; Vespertilionidae. The record is from Rfam by way of RNAcentral.